Molecule: ribosomal RNA, 205 nt
Filed under: Staphylococcus aureus
Lineage: Bacteria; Bacillati; Bacillota; Bacilli; Caryophanales; Staphylococcaceae
Description: partial 16S ribosomal RNA
Rfam family: Bacterial small subunit ribosomal RNA
Source: RNAcentral
UGACAAACCGGAGGAAGGUGGGGAUGACGUCAAAUCAUCAUGCCCCUUAUGAUUUGGGCUACACACGUGCUACAAUGGACAAUACAAAGGGCAGCGAAACCGCGAGGUCAAGCAAAUCCCAUAAAGUUGUUCUCAGUUCGGAUUGUAGUCUGCAACUCGACUACAUGAAGCUGGAAUCGCUAGUAAUCGUAGAUCAGCAUGCUAC